GCCAGUGUGGCUAAAAUAAAGCAGGCAGAGGAACGUGGAAGGACUAGACUGCCUGAGUCUUCUGACCUUCAUCUUUCCCCUGUGUUGGAUGCCUCCUGCCCUCAAACAUCAGACUCCAGGUUCUUCAGCUUUUGGACUCUUGGACCUACCCCCCGAGUGGUUUGCCAGGGGCUCUCAGGCCUUCGGCUACAGACUGAGGGCUGCAUUAUCAGCUUUCCUACUUUUGAGGUUUUGGGACUUUACUGGCUUUCUUGCUCCUCAACUUGCAGAUGGCCUGUUGUGGGACCUCACCUUGUGAUCAUGUACAUGAGGGAAAUACACACCCCUCCCAGGGAUGAUGGAAGGUUAAGGUCCUAACACCUCCUGCACAUCUGAGCAGCUGCACAUUGAACCAGAUAGUCCUGGAAUGUGGGAAAACAGAGGCAGACUCAAGAGUCUGGAACAUUAUUUUAGGAUCACACAAAAAAGAUACAUAAUUUUCAUAGGUAAGUGUUGUUUUUUUGUUGUUGUUGGAAAAAAGUUUCUCACUAAUAACUAUCUAAAAGGGAAGUAAUUAGGGUUUCAGGCGUUCUAAAAAUAACUGUAAAGAGGGUUUUGUUUUGGUUUUGGUUCGUUCUGGUGUGCCUUACAGCUUUCCCUAAGGCAACACACUUACUGACCUAUUGCUAGGGCAAAUAGGUGGAAAAAAACAAGCUUUCCUCUCUCUGGAGAAAGGAAGGGUCAGGUGUAACACUGAAGUGACUCAAAAGUAGGGGAGCUUGUAUCAGCUCUGGUCUGCACAAUGAUUCCCCUGCUCUUUACAUAGAAAAA
RNAcentral lists this long non-coding RNA (810 nucleotides) under Homo sapiens (human). RNAcentral's name for it is "lncRNA in non-homologous end joining pathway 1". The record is from RNAcentral. Lineage: Eukaryota; Metazoa; Chordata; Mammalia; Primates; Hominidae.